Molecule: long non-coding RNA, 2561 nt
Organism: Drosophila sulfurigaster albostrigata
Lineage: Eukaryota; Metazoa; Arthropoda; Insecta; Diptera; Drosophilidae
Exons: 3
Source: RefSeq, a predicted model, not a curated record
UACAAAAGUAUUUCUUAAUUAACUUCUACGAUUUCCAUCUCAUCGUAACAAAAUUUUCACGUAUCAUAAAUAUAGUUAUUAUUGUAUCUACCCAAAAUUGCAGAUCUAGCUUUAAAAUCAUUUACAAGAUUUUUCUUGAUUUUUGGGGCGGAAGUGGGAGUGGCAAAAAUUUGAAGCAAACGAACUUAACAAGUGCUAUCGAAAAAGACUUAUAUAUUUAUCUCUUAAGGACGAACGGACAGCCGGAUCAAGAAUAUAUAUAAUAAUUUAUAGGGACGGACAUAUUUCCUUUUGUCUGUUGCAUACAUUUCAUGGAGACAACAAAUUAUAAUAAGAGUAUAAAAAAUGCAUUCAAUUUUGAAAACAAUUGAGGAUAUGCCGCAGUCGUGCACACUCCUCGAGCUCAUUCACUCUGUGUUGGUCUAACUCGAUUUCUUCCACUCUAUUUUGAUGUCAUCUUUGCACAGUUUCCUCGUUGCUUCGUAUUUGCUUGGUCGAGUAUUGACCAAACGCGUAAUUUAUGCAAAUAUUCCAAUUUGCUGAACUGAAACACUUCGAAGUGAAGCAGCGAGCAGCGCUGCCGAAAUAAUUGCGUCGAUUUAUAUGAGGAAAACCCAGUGCUGCGAGCAGGGAGGGAGUGAGAGAGAGGGGGGAAAGGGGAGCGGCAGGAGGGAAUACUUGGCGCCUGAUGCUGCAGCUGCUCAUUACCCUUUUCUGGGCAGCCACCCUGCAUUCAGUGCUCUAGUUGUCGCUCCUGGUGUGCUCCAUCAAGUGGGUAUUUUUCGUACACGAAUAAACUUUAUGGCGCCAUUGUAGCAAAGUGUCGCCUUCGUCGCCAGCAGGACGACAGUCCUGCUGCUGCCUGCCUGCCUGCUCGGGAUGACAUAAUAAAGUUGCGAUAUUAGAAAUUCGAGUGAAUUUGGUGCGUUCUCGGUGGCCCAGUGGCCAGUGUGAAAGCUGCGAGGCUUCAUUAUGGUGAAAUUCCCCCUUAUUAACAUAAUGAAACAAUGAAAUAAGAACAAGUAACAGAGAGCUACAGCUAGAGCUAAAGCUACAGCUUCCCAAACUCUCAACCUCCAGCUGGAUGGCAUUGCUGGUCAUAAGGGACGCAGUGAAGCCAAGCGGCAACUUGGAAAAGCUGUCAAAUGAACGCGAUAUCUUUACGCAUUAUGCUAAUAAAUUUACAACAACAACGAGUGCAAGCCAAAAACUGUGUAGAGAAAACUCUAAUGAAAAACACGAGCUCAGAUUGGACACAGAUUGAGGAAUCACAAUGGAACGAUACACCUGUCCAUCGAAGCUAAAGCCCUGAUAGACCCUCGGAUAGGUUUUAGGUUAUCAGGCGUGGCCAAAGCACUUGAAACAAAGCACAUAGUUUGCUAGAAACAUCCAGCUAUGAACGACAUUUGAAUACGCUUUCAAGUUCAAUUUCCAAAUAUUAUUUUCAGCAUUGUUGGCAACUGAAAUAAGUUCAUUCAUAAGAUUCUUUUAAUCAGACAUUUAACAAGCAACUCAUCACAAAAUGUUCGAUAAAUCGGAAGUACAACAAAUGCUAGUUGAUGGGUGGGUGGCUUGAGGUGGCGGCUUUUGGCCAGCUGCCUCUUGGAAUUGGAAUUAUGUAGCACGUGCGAGCUUCUCAAUCACCAGAGGAUGGAUGAUGCCUGGAGAGUUCGUCACAGGAUUUGAUUUGCGCCUACACUAAACCUCGGGCUGCUUUUUUGGUUUAUGCUCUCUGAUUAUAAGUCACAAAUUGGCUUGGCCCAAUUGGUUCAGUUUUACAGGCUUCACCAUCCGCUUUCACCACCCGCCACCCGCAUCGCACAAAUACAAAUGGCCAAAUUCACUUUCGGCCAAGAGGCCGACAAACUUGGGACUUCCUUUUGCCAUUUUCCAUUUGACGCAAUCAGUUUAAUGCGAAGCCGUCGAAGUGGAAGUCAAUUUUUGAUUGCCAGCAAACCGAGAUCCCAAGUACAAAGAUUACGUAACUAGUUUUGCAAUGUACAACCAACAGCUUUAUUGUAGAUUAAUUAGUUAGUUAGUUCUUAGCGAUAUUUCAGGCAUUACACGGUAUAUACAAUUCUGCACUUUGUUGAUCAACACAGGAAUUUCGUUUAGAAUUUCGUUGAUAAAAUUCACGUAACAACGCGGAUAUUUGUUUUCGGCAUUUGCAUUUAUAUCAUGAAGAGCUAGCAAAAUCUCCCACAUUGGUAAUGGGAAUAUGAACGAAUAUAUUUUUAUUGAUAAGGGUGAACAAAGCAAACCCUCUUUGGCGACACAAUUAUCCCAACUUAAACUUUGUGCCCAUAAAUAUAUCAUCAGUGGAUAUAAUUCAUAUACUAAAUCCAAGUCGUUCUGAAUAAUGCAUUUCAGGUGCUUCACCCCUAUUAUAAUCAGCGUUUUCUUAAGAUGUUCCGUUGUAUUUUUCAGACAUUCCUUGGGUCUGCCUCGCUCUUUAAAUGAUUUUUCUAUGCACUGUGGUGUAGGAAGAAAUUUGCAGUCUUUCUCCUGGGCAUUCACUACUGUACUGCAUAGAAGCACCGAUAUACCGAAUAACAAUUUAA